This 58-nucleotide non-coding RNA is filed under the name Tripos fusus. The record is from RNAcentral. Lineage: Eukaryota; Dinophyceae; Gonyaulacales; Ceratiaceae.
ACGAAAGGCGCGACCGCAGGAUGAAGUGCUAUGCAAGGCUGUUGGCCCAUAUGGCAGG